CAAUGGCAUCAGAAACCUAUUGAAUUAUGAAAUUUCAGUAGAAUAAAACUCUCUAAAUUCAAUAGGAGUUAACUACUCCUGUGAGGAGAAAAGGACUUAAUUAAAGUACUGAGAGCAGAGAGAAUGAGUUUAAUUAGUCGAAAAGUACAUUAUUACUAAGAGCACACCAAUCAAUUUUAAUUCUGAAGUCUAUCAACUACCAAGAUACCUCAUACGAAUUAUAAAAUCUCUAAAAAAAAAAAAAUCCAAUGCAAAAUCCAAUUUUCCCCUUUCUUGUUAACAAACAUGCUUUGCAUUAAGUUGUGCCCAUCAAAAAUAAAAAAUAAAAAAUGCUUUGCAUUAAGUUGUGUAAUAAGGUUUUGGGUUUAGGGGUUAUAUAACUACUUUCAGCCUUGCUUAGUUGAGAUGGUGAUGGACUUGAACCAUGCACCUGGGUUGGAAUUCAUUUUGGGCUUUGCAUGUUGAAGCCACCAUGGUGGCAGCAAAAGGCUGUCAAAAUGUAAAUUAUUUUCAGUGGUUUCUGGAUUUUCUUUGUGUUCCACAUUUAAGAUUAUACUGCUAUUUUGAUUACUCUGCUCAACCAUGUGCCAUUAUUCAUAUGAGUCAUGUUCAAGAGGGUCUUGCAGGAAGAAAACUAAUUUGCUGCCAGCAUGGAAAUUUCUGGUAUGAUGCUGAAAGAUUGUCCUUUAAAGCAGUGGACUGGGAGAUGUCAAAUUUGUACACAGGCACUCAGGGGGCCUCCUUUAGGUCAUUCUCUAUCUCUUAAAGAUUUGUUCUACUUGAACAUUAGCAUAAAUUAUUUCUGUAUAUCAAUCUCAAUACAUGCACUUGUGUGAUGAGCUCUUGCUAAGGAUUUGGUAUGCAAAGCAACUUUAAUCGGAGUACUGAUAAGUGAUAAGAUGUUUUGAAGAACUUAGAACCAUAAAAGAAAUUGAGGGUUCAGGAAAUUGAACCCAUACAAGCUCCAAACUAGAUGAAUGUGAUUCUAACAGUUUGCUUGAAACAAUGUCAUAGAAAGCAACGGGCGACUUGAGGGUAAUUAAUGUGAAGAGCUCAUCAGAUAAGUGAUAAGAUGUUUUUAUGUGAAGAUUUGGUUUUCGUGGUUGCACCACUGUGUGAUGACAUUCCCUAUGGUACAUCAAUUGCUACAAGUCUUGGCUAAGAAUUUACAAUAUACACUAUGAAGCCCUUUUUGACAGUCUUUUAUUCCAACAGCAUCUAGGACUCCUAGACAAUGUGAUAUCUCGUACUGAGUAAAUUCAUAACCCUGUUCACAAUUGAAUCAAUUAUCUACCAGCUCCAAACUAGAUGAAUGUGAUUCUAACACUUUGCUUCAAACAAUGUCAUAGAAAGCAACGGGCGACUUGAGGGUAAUUAAUGUGAUAACGGCCUGACUCAAGAUCAUAAGAGUAGAGUGGAUAUGUGGUUUUAAGUUAAUAGGAUGAGUGAUGGUUUCUCAACUCACAAUUUCAAUGUGUGCGCUUGGGUACACACAUUUUAUCGUUUCUUUGAUAGGCAUUCAGUCCACAAGAUUAAUGGUCAAAGCUCUCAUCUCUAGAAUCUAGAUACAAGCACUUUCAACUGGAAAGCAUUGGAGAACUGGUGUAUGGAUUGUUUUGAGCAUCACAGCCUCAACCAGCUCAUCAUUGAUCACCUAAAAGUUUUUUUUUUAAAAAGUGGGACAAUGGGAAUUGAAGUUUCUAACAAUUUUUGCUUGUAGAAUGAGGGAGAAGACACUUGUUAGUUUACUGGAUGGGAAGCUGCUAACUGUUGGAUUUGGUGGGAAUGGUGGAGAUGAUGGUUCAGGAAAUGGGUAGGAGAUGGAUGCUUCAGGAGGGGCACUGACAAGAUUAUCCAUUCGCAAGUUUGUUGUAGGUUGCUAGAUUUUAUGAAUAUUUGGGCAUUUUGGGCUUUCUGUGUGUUUCAUUGGAUUGGAUGUAUUUUGAGGCCUAGGCUCUUCCAUGCUGGGGAUUCUUUUAGUACAGCAGUUUCUAUUUUUCUGUUCAUAUCCUUUUUCUUCUGUUCAUUAUAUAAUCCAAGUUUAGGAAGCAGUUAACUCUAUUGAAAGUAGAGGUUGAAGCAGAUUUCCCUUUUAACACUUUGAGCUACAGGAUGCUUGACAUGCACGGUACUUGUUACAUACAAACUAUAUCCUGUAGGUCAAUGGAUUUGGUGAAUUUCUGGGCAUUUUGAGUUGCCUAUUGUUUUCAUUCUGGGGAUUAUUUUAGUACAGCAAGUUCAGUCUUUUCCUGUUAGAUGUAUUUUUCAUCUUUUCUACUUUGUCCAUCACAUAUUAUUUGUAUGGUCCAAGUUGAGGAAGUAGUUCAUUCUAUCAUAAAAGGAGGCUGAAACAGAGGCUCCCUCAUAACUAUUUCAACUAUUAUUAGCACCUUCUGGUUUGAUACAUUGCUGAGAUUAGAUGUCUAUGGGCCCAAUGAGUGAUUUUGAUCUAGUUCACUACCUGUUGGAGGUAGAAGAUGCUCUGGCGUGAUCCUCAGACAGAAAAGUUUGCAGUCCUUUUGAUAAUGAUCAGAGUGGCAUUGCUUGGAUUUUGCUUGAUUCUAAAGUUGCUCAUGGGCUGGAAAUUGCUAGAUAUCAGACAGUGAUAAGUCGAACAUAUACAGCCUGCACUCUAAUUCAUUUCAAGCUACUCUGAUCAUGUACACCAAAUAUCACCAAUUAUUAUUGUACCCUCCACAUAGACCAGGCUUUUAUAAGCCCUUGUCUUUGAAGCAGCUAAGUGGGGCUUGAAGAAGAAGAUGAUGCCCGUGUAGGGGUAGCAUGCUGGACAUUGCUUGGUGAUGGGUCCAAUGGUAUGAUGUAUUGUAGUUUAUUUCCGUAUCUCCUACAAUCUCCUUGAGCCUUACCUGAUUUAACACAUAUCUCUGGACAAGAUUAUCAUUUGUAAGUGGCCAACUAUGUUGGUGUGGCAACAUGGAAGAAGAUAUGCAAAGCUACGCUAGCAGGUCCAAGAGAUCUUACAUAAAGGGGUAAUUUGUAGAAGAUUUGUCUCACAACAAUUCUAGCACAAAAUUAAGCUCUCAAGCACUAGCCUCUAUUGAUUGAUAUUGGCGAUCGAUUUGUUGGCUCGAUGGUUUGAGCUUCCAACUCAACCGGUGGCCACAACUUACAAUUCUUGAAGGUAAAUCUCAUCAAUAAUAGAAGUUAUUUAAGACAAUGGACUUCUAGUGCAUCAUUCAACCUAGCAAAAUAUGAUGAUAGGGGAUUUGUUUUUUAGAUUCCAUCUUAACGCACAUUUGUCUCUUGGCUUGAUUAAAAUUCAAAAACUGCCAACUCCAAUAAACUCAUUAGUAAUGAAACCUAUUUUGUUAUCACUAAAAAUUACAAUUUGAAAAAACUUUGGACUAACAUGUUAGUAUAAUGUUAUCAAUAGU
Long non-coding RNA from Vitis riparia (riverbank grape), 3395 nucleotides. RefSeq lists it as uncharacterized. Lineage: Eukaryota; Viridiplantae; Streptophyta; Magnoliopsida; Vitales; Vitaceae. The transcript is spliced from 3 exons. The record is from RefSeq and is a predicted model, not a curated record.